This 420-nucleotide unclassified non-coding RNA is filed under the name fungal sp. Its description in RNAcentral is "partial internal transcribed spacer region". The stretch from base 1 to 46 matches the Rfam family "Eukaryotic small subunit ribosomal RNA", at positions 1786 to 1831 of the family's 1831-position model. The record is from RNAcentral. Lineage: Eukaryota; Fungi.
AAGUCGUAACAAGGUUUCCGUAGGUGAACCUGCGGAAGGAUCAUUAUCAUAACGUAUCCACGUAUAAACCAACUUUAAAUUGAUGUGAAACGUAACUGUUUUAACACCUCGAGAUAAUCAGAUGAUUGCUAUACUUUACAUUGUUUGCGUGAUUAAAGCAAAAACGGUUUAGUAUGGACCUGUGCCUGUAACAAGGUGCUAGCGCUGAUUAUUUGGAGUGUAAAAAAUUUAAUCAACUAUUAACCCAUUGAACCGAAUUACUAUAUUCUUAACUGAGUUUAGUUAUUCAUUUUAAUUUCUAUUGUGUGAACUGAAUUGUCUACUUACUUGACACCGUCAUUGGUGGAGAGAAGUCGAUUAUAUUUACGAAACAUUAUAAAUUUCUAUGAACAACUCUUAGCAACGGAUAUCUUGGUUCUC